This 253-nucleotide ribosomal RNA is filed under the name uncultured bacterium. Its description in RNAcentral is "partial 16S ribosomal RNA". It matches the Rfam family "Bacterial small subunit ribosomal RNA", at positions 524 to 776 of the family's 1533-position model. The record is from RNAcentral.
GACAGAGGGGGCAAGCGUUGCUCGGAAUCACUGUGCGUAAAGGGCGCGUAGGCGGGAUGGCAAGUCAGUCGUGAAAUCUCUCGGCUCAACCGAGAAACGUCGGCUGAUACUGCCGUUCUUGAGGGAUGCAGAGGAGACUGGAAUUCCCGGUGUAGCGGUGAAAUGUGUAGAGAUCGGGAGGAACACCGGUGGCGAAGGCGGGUCUCUGGGCAUUUCCCGACGCUGAGGCGCGAAAGCGUGGGGAGCAAACGGG